Molecule: ribosomal RNA, 440 nt
Filed under: uncultured bacterium
Lineage: Bacteria
Description: bacterial SSU rRNA
Rfam family: Bacterial small subunit ribosomal RNA
Source: RNAcentral
CCUANGGGGGGCAGCAGUGGGGAGUAUUGGACAAUGGGGGCAACCCUGAUCCAGCAAUGCCGCGUGGGUGAUGAAGGCCUUCGGGUUGUAAAGCCCUUUCGGCGGGGACGAUGAUGACGGUACCCGCAGAAGAAGCCCCGGCUAACUUCGUGCCAGCAGCCGCGGUAAUACGAAGGGGGCUAGCGUUGUUCGGAUUGACUGGGCGUAAAGGGCGCGUAGGCGGCCUAUUUAGUCAGGCGUGAAAGCCCCGGGCUUAACCUGGGAAUUGCGCUUGAUACUGAUGGGCUGGAGUGCGGGAGAGGAUGGUGGAAUUCCCAGUGUAGAGGUGAAAUUCGUAGAUAUUGGGAAGAACACCGGUGGCGAAGGCGGCCAUCUGGACCGUAACUGACGCUGAGGCGCGAAAGCGUGGGGAGCAAACAGGAUUAGAUACCCCANUANUC